UCCCUGGUAGCUUAGCUGGUAAAGAAUCUACCUGCAAUGCAGGAGAUCCGGGUUCGAUUCCUGAGUGGGGAA
This 72-nucleotide transfer RNA is filed under the name Bos taurus (domestic cattle). It matches the Rfam family "tRNA". Rfam says of the family: Transfer RNA (tRNA) molecules are approximately 80 nucleotides in length. Their secondary structure includes four short double-helical elements and three loops (D, anti-codon, and T loops). The record is from Rfam by way of RNAcentral. Lineage: Eukaryota; Metazoa; Chordata; Mammalia; Artiodactyla; Bovidae. RNAcentral also lists the same sequence under 2 other names.